CCUACGGGAGGCAGCAGUGGGGAAUAUUGGACAAUGGGGGAAACCCUGACCCAGCGACGCCGCGUGAGUGAAGAAGUAUUUCGGUAUGUAAAGCUCUUUCAGCAGGAAAGAAAAUGACGGUACCUGACUAAGAAGCCCCGGCGAACUACGUGCCAGCAGCCGCGGUAAUACGUAGGGGGCAAGCGUUAUCCGGAUUUACUGGGGGUAAGGGGAGCGUAGACGGCAGUGCAAGUCUGGAGUGAAAUGCCGGGGCUCAACCCCGGAACUGCUUUGGAAACUGUUAGGCUGGAGUGCAGGAGAGGUAAGCGGAAUUCCUGGUGUAGCGGUGAAAUGCGUAGAUAUCAGGAGGAACACCGGCGGCGAAGGCGGCUUACUGGACUGUAACUGACGUUGAGGCUCGAAGGCGUGGGGAGCAAACAGGAUUAGAUACCCUUGUAGUC
Molecule: ribosomal RNA, 440 nt
Filed under: uncultured bacterium
Lineage: Bacteria
Description: partial 16S ribosomal RNA
Rfam family: Bacterial small subunit ribosomal RNA
Source: RNAcentral